GAUGAACGCUGGCGGCGUGCUUAACACAUGCAAGUCGAACGAGAAGUGAGGACGGCAACCUUCGGGCGGAAGGCGUUAUUUCGAGUGGCGGACGGGAGAGUAACGCGUGGGUAACCUGCCGCAUACGGGGGGAUAACAGUUGGAAACGACUGUUAAUACCGCGUAAGACCACAGCACCGCAUGGUGCGUGGGGCAAAACUCCGGUGGGAUGAGAUGGACCCUCGUUCGCUUAGCCAGUUGGCGGGGUAACGGCGCACCAAAGCGACGAUCGAUAGCCGAUCUGAGAGGAUGGCCGGCAAUAUUGCGACAGAGACACGGCCCAAAUUCCGGCGGGAGGCAGCAAUGCGGAAUAAUGCACAAUGGGUGAAACACUGAGGCAGCGACGCCGUGUGAGUGAAGAAGUAUUUCGGUAUGUAAAGCUCUAUCAGCAGGGAAGAAAAGGACGGAACCAGAGUAAGAGGCCCCGCCUACCUACGG
RNAcentral lists this ribosomal RNA (477 nucleotides) under uncultured bacterium. Its description in RNAcentral is "partial 16S ribosomal RNA". It matches the Rfam family "Bacterial small subunit ribosomal RNA", at positions 28 to 506 of the family's 1533-position model. The record is from RNAcentral.